GGUGGGCCAGUCUCGGCUCAAAAUGCCCAGGGCGAUUGUUUGUCCCUGUCUAGCCCUGUAACCUACUGCUUAGCUAAAAUGAAAGGUUUUCAUGCCAGCGACUGAGCCAGUCGGAGAUCAGGGCUGGUCGAUGCAUCUAUUUAUCAGAGCCAGAGAGACAAGGGGACAAACAAGGAGAAAACGACUGUAAAGAGUCAGAAAAAAGAGAAGGGUCUGUCUGGUAGUAAAUAUGCCAUGUUUGUGUGUACACAGACUUUUCACACAAUUCAGUGAACGAAACUAAAUAGGUUAACGCUCCAGAUACUUGAGUCAGCCAGUGUGUAAUAUGUGAGAAAUAUGCAGAGGUACAUUUUCUUGUGAUGAAUCUCAGCAUCACUCUUAUGCCCGGGCUUUAUUUUAAGCUUAUUUGUUAUUAUGUAGGUAUAAAACGCAUUUAAUUUUAAACCUUCA
Molecule: long non-coding RNA, 450 nt
Organism: Melanotaenia boesemani (Boeseman's rainbowfish)
Lineage: Eukaryota; Metazoa; Chordata; Actinopteri; Atheriniformes; Melanotaeniidae
Exons: 2
Source: RefSeq, a predicted model, not a curated record